RNAcentral lists this transfer RNA (87 nucleotides) under Flavobacteriia bacterium. Its description in RNAcentral is "tRNA-Ser". It matches the Rfam family "tRNA". Rfam says of the family: Transfer RNA (tRNA) molecules are approximately 80 nucleotides in length. Their secondary structure includes four short double-helical elements and three loops (D, anti-codon, and T loops). The record is from RNAcentral. Lineage: Bacteria; Pseudomonadati; Bacteroidota; Flavobacteriia.
GGAGAGGUGGCCGAGUGGUUUAAGGCGCAUGCUUGGAAAGCAUGUUUAUGAGCAAUUGUAACAAGGGUUCGAAUCCCUUUCUCUCCG